Molecule: long non-coding RNA, 901 nt
Organism: Colossoma macropomum (tambaqui)
Lineage: Eukaryota; Metazoa; Chordata; Actinopteri; Characiformes; Serrasalmidae
Exons: 4
Source: RefSeq, a predicted model, not a curated record
ACACACCACUCCUCAGACAAGUACUCCCUACAGCAGUUUGAGCAGUUUCAGUCGGUCAGUCUAUGGACGUUUCAGUAAGUCUUUCUUGUAUGGUAACAGUAGUGAGACCUGCAGCGGUUCAGAACUUUCCCCAACAGAUUUAAACCCACCGUUUAUCCUGGAUUCACACACAGCCUGAUUCUACAGCAGCUGACCGACCUCUUGACGCAACCGGAAUCUUUUAAAAACUUCAUCAGCCUCCUUCAGUCACCUCAUCAUCAUGAACAGCGAAGACAAAAACAAAGAGGAGUGGAUUCCAGUGCCCGUCUCUGAACAGCCACAGCCGUCAUGUUCACCGUGUCCACCAUGUGACAGCUCAUGUGAAGGUGCAGAUCAGCUGUGCUCACAUUUCUGUUCAGAGAUUUGCACACAUUGUUGUGCUGCUUUAUGCGUUGCUUUAUGUGGUAUGUAUGACCAGUAGUGGCUAAUGCACCAAAGCUCUGAUGCGGAGAUUAAAGGUAGGGAAGCUGGAGUUUCAGGACACUCAACUGGCUACUGGGAUGGAGCUUGGUGUAUCUGUGAGUGAUGAGGUCUUGGGAUCGCUUCCUACUGGCCGCAGGAUGACCGUCUCACGUGAUAAAUUCAUCCCAUCGUACUGACAGCUACAGAUAAUCAGUAUUAAGGGGAGGGAAGAGUUUAUAUUAUGUGUAUAUAUUGUGAAUCAACCUAAGUCAUCUCCAAAAAACUAUGCAACUGUCAGGUUCCAAGAAAUGGGUCCUCAGUGUGACAGAUAACGAGGUUCUAGGAUAUUCCAAAGAUGAAUCUGGCAAAAAAUCACAACCCAGUCUGUUUCACGAUGACAGAGCUCCUCACUACUGGAUUUUGCCUUGGCUCGUUGUGUUACUUUAUUUCUGUACUAUUC